GCCAGGCGUGGUGCUGGAUGCCUGUAGUCCCAGCUACUCGGGAGGCUGAGGUGGGAGGAUCACUUGAGCCCAGGAGAUCGAGGCUGCAGUGAGCCGAGAUCGCAUCACUGCACUCCAGCCUGGGUGACAGAGUAAGACCCUGCCUCGU
This 148-nucleotide small RNA is filed under the name Pongo abelii (Sumatran orangutan). Its description in RNAcentral is "Metazoan signal recognition particle RNA (ENSPPYG00000032589.1)". Lineage: Eukaryota; Metazoa; Chordata; Mammalia; Primates; Hominidae. The record is from Rfam by way of RNAcentral.